CCUACGGGAGGCAGCAGUGGGGAAUAUUGGGCAAUGGAGGCAACUCUGACCCAGCAACGCCGCGUGAAUGAUGAAGGUCUUCGGAUUGUAAAGUUCUGUGAUGGUGGAUGAACACAAUGACGGUACCCCAAUAGCAAGCCACGGCUAACUACGUGCCAGCAGCCGCGGUAAUACGUAGGUGGCAAGCGUUAUCCGGAAUGACUGGGCGUAAGGGGUGCGUAGGUGGUUUAGUAAGUUGGCGGUGUAAUUCCGGGGCUCAACCUCGGUGCUACCGCCAAAACUAUUAGACUAGAGUGCAGGAGGGGUAAGUGGAAUUCCUAGUGUAGCGGUGGAAUGCGUAGAUAUUAGGAGGAACAUCAGGGGCGAAGGCGACUUACUGGACUGUAACUGACACUGAGGCACGAAAGCGUGGGGAGCAAACAGGAUUAGAUACCCUAGUAGUC
RNAcentral lists this ribosomal RNA (443 nucleotides) under uncultured bacterium. Its description in RNAcentral is "partial 16S ribosomal RNA". It matches the Rfam family "Bacterial small subunit ribosomal RNA", at positions 338 to 795 of the family's 1533-position model. The record is from RNAcentral.